AGAGUUUGAUCAUGGCUCAGAAUCAACGCUGGCGGCGCGCUAACACAUGCAAGUCGCACGAGAAAGCAGGAGCAAUCUGUGAGUAAAGUGGCGUACGGGUGAGUAACACGUGGAUCAUCUACCCUGGAGUGGGGAAUAACGCUGGGAAACCGGCGCUAAUACCGCAUAUUCCCGAGAGGGGAAAGCAGCAAUGCGCUCGAGGAGGAGUCCGCGGCCGAUUAGCUAGUUGGUAGGGUAACGGCCUACCAAGGCUAUGAUCGGUAGCCGGCCUGAGAGGGCACACGGCCACACUGGCACUGAAACACGGGCCAGACUCCUACGGGAGGCAGCAGUGGGGAAUCUUGCACAAUGGGGGAAACCCUGAUGCAGCGACGCCGCGUGAGCGAUGAAGCCCUUCGGGGUGUAAAGCUCUUUCGGCAGGGAAGAUUAUGACGGUACCUGCAGAAGCAGCUGCGGCUAACUACGUGCCAGCAGCCGCGGUAAUACGUAGGCAGCAAGCGUUGUUCGGAGUUACUGGGCGUAAAGGGUGUGUAGGCGGCCCCCUAAGUUUGGUGUGAAAUCUCCCGGCUUAACCGGGAGGGUGCGCCGAAGACUGGAGGGCUAGAGUGCGGGAUGGGAGAGUGGAAUUCCUGGUGUAGCGGUGAAAUGCGUAGAUAUCAGGAGGAACACCUGUGGUGUAGACGGCUCUCUGGACCGCAACUGACGCUGAGACACGAAAGCGUGGGUAGCAAACAGGAUUAGAUACCCUGGUAGUCCACGCCCUAAACGAUGCAUAUUUGGUGUAGGUCAUUCAGUUGAUCUGUGCCGGAGCUAACGCGUUAAAUAUGCCGCCUGGGGAGUACAGUCGCAAGGCUGAAACUCAAAGGAAUUGACGG
RNAcentral lists this ribosomal RNA (875 nucleotides) under uncultured bacterium. RNAcentral's name for it is "bacterial SSU rRNA". It matches the Rfam family "Bacterial small subunit ribosomal RNA", at positions 8 to 916 of the family's 1533-position model. The record is from RNAcentral.